Molecule: unclassified non-coding RNA, 3163 nt
Filed under: Drosophila virilis
Lineage: Eukaryota; Metazoa; Arthropoda; Insecta; Diptera; Drosophilidae
Description: GJ14685
Source: RNAcentral
AGCAUCUACUGAUCGCAGCGGUAAUUUAUUUUGCGCACUUUUUUUUACGCCAACAAGCGAUGCACGAGGAAAUUGUAAUAAAAAAGGAAGAACUUGAUAUUGAUGAUACAAAAAUAAAGUUGGAGUUGGAUGAGGAUGCGCCGCAUUUAGAUAUGACGUGCGGGGGCAGCUUUAUGAAAAUCAUCGAAGAGCGGCCAAAUAUGAUAACGGUGCCGGUACAUGACUGCAAAUCCGAGGAUGAGCUUAAAUUCAUAGCGAGCCUCGGCACGUUCGAUCAGCAGCAAAAGUUAUUUGUGACGUCACCUUGUGAAAAUAUUGCCCCGGCUGACACUUUCGAUGCAUUUUCAUGCAAAAUUUGCAGCUUUACGUGUGAAAAUCAUCUGGCGCUGGCCUCGCAUCAGAUAAACCAUCAGCUAAAUCGACAUUUCUGCUGCUAUGGAUGCGGCGUCUGGUGCAACACGCUUGAAGAGAUUCUGGAGCACGAAUUUCGCAAGCAUGCGGGCGGUGUAAAUGGAUCAAGCUGUAGGAUUUGUGAGUUGAAUUGUAGCGAUGCCGCCGGUCUGGCCAAGCACAUGAGCAGCCACUUUUAUGUGCGCCGUUUUGUCUGCGCGGUAUGUCGCCGGCACUUUGAGACGCGCCAGGGAUUGCAGCUACAUCGGCAGCACAGCAAGGAGCUGUGCGGUCAGGUCGAAUAUGCUGAUAUACAUGGCAAUGUAGGCCAAUUGGUGGCGGUCAGCAAGCUCGACGCCAAAUUGCCUGAGGAUCUGGCGUGUGAUGUGGAAAUUAAAACGGAGCCCCUGGAAGCCGAAGAGCAACAGCCGGAAACGGAGCAUGAGCAGGAAAUGGCGGAUAUUGUUAUCAAAACAGAGCCAGAGUUCGAAGCAGAUGAGUUGAGCUCUGGCCAGGAUGCCAACUGGAUGAACAACAGCCUUGCAGGACAACUGCGCGGCAAAUUGCGUUUGCCUGCUAUACAGAAACCAAUAAAAGUUGAAACUGUAACGAGCGCUGAAACACCAACGGCUGCACCCCCAUCAAUACAGUUUGUGCCCGCAGGCAAAUGGAAGCCUAUACCAAUACCUAACACUAAUGCAUCCGUAAAGCUGCCAAACAUUUUGAAGCCUAACAAAGGCAAUAAUCAGCAGAAAAAUAUUUUGAAAAAGAACGUCUUGCAAUCGUUGAAAAACAAGCCAAAUAUUGCAGCCAACAUCUUAAAGGUUUUGCCCAGCAAUUGCAUGCUAAUCAAAUUGCCACCAAACACCAAGAUUGUUAAAAUAGCGCCAAGCCCGACGAGCGUCAAUACGAAUAGCUGCACCAUUGGCAGCAAGAUUAUUACACUGCCUAGUGCCAUGUCCAUAAGCUCAGUUUCCGCUGGUUCCAAGAACCAUUCGGUCGCCACAGUUCCAAGCCCAACUGCACCCAGUACGCCACAAGCAGAAGGCACACAAAAGGCGGCCAUAAAUCGCAAUGCUUACUUUAAUGCCUUAAGCUUAUUCGAGAGCUUGCCCGAAUCUCGUAAGAUCAUCACAGAAUUCCAAAAUCAAAUACGCAGCAUAGAGCAGACAUUGCCACUGCCCGGCAGCGUAUUGCAAACGCCCAAGAGAAACAACAAUUUAGUGUUGCCAUCGCAGCUGGAGGUGCUUCGGCUGGCUCCCACCAAAUCGAGCAAUGUGAAAGUGCGUCAAUUGCGCUAUACGUAUCCCAAUCAUCGUUUUCACUGGGAGUGUCCAAAAUGUGCGCGCUGCUACGAACAGUAUGUACCAUUCUGUAACCACAUGACCCAAGUGCACGGCAUUGCGGAAGCAGAGUUCGAGCAUAUAAAAGUGGAGGUCAAGACUUACAAGAAAUUGAAUUUAUCCAAAAUGGCUCCAGCCACAAGUCCAAUAGAGACGGCGCCAGCUGCGCCCACUACAGCUUCGGAAGCUCCUGUGAUUCCCGGUGCUGCAGAGCCAACUGCAGCUUCGACUGAGCGAGCUUCAGAAGCGUCUACAGCAACAGCUCAAGAUUCUUUAGUUGAAGCAGCAGAAGUAGCUCCUGUGGAAGCCGUUUCUCUUUCUUCUGCAAAGCCAACUCCUGUAGCACCUGUAGCGCCUGCAGCUCUUUCGUCAACGCCACCCGCCUCAGCUCCUGCUAAGUCAACACGACCAGCUCCAAUUGUUCGUCCUGCUCAGUAUCAGUGCGAGGAUUGUUCCAAAUGCUUUACCACUGUGGGUGCCCUGCGUAUCCACAAAAUGAUCCACACUGGGGAGCUGCCGCAUAAAUGCAACUACUGUGACAAGCGUUUUCGUACACCCGGCCAGGUGCGCGUCCAUCAGCGUCGGCACACAGGUGAAAAACCAUUCAAAUGCAAGGUUUGCUCGCUUGAUUUUACACAUCGCGAGACGCUCAUCUCCCAUCUGUCGCGUCACAUUGGCAUGAAACGUUACAAGUGCUAUGGUUGUGACAAGAAUUUCGUGGUGGUCAGUGGAUUGCGCGCACAUCGUCGUCUACGACCAGAUACGUGCGGCAAGGUCAAGUUUACGGCACGUGCACACGGUCCCCGAGUUCGUGUGAUACGAGGCGAAGUCGUUUUCGAAUCGCAUCCCGAGCAUAAUGGUUACUUACGUAGUGAGGAUCCUUUGAACAUUAUGUCUGAGAUUAAUCAGGCCUCCAAAGAAUCAUCUGUUGCUUCCGAGUCUAGCUAACAAGCUACGCAUUCUUUACAUACAUUGGUUUAUCUUUAUUUUACCUAUUUGUUAUGAACGUUGUAACUUUUGGAUGGUUGCAAUUGCAAAUGGAAAUCCUUACGCUUGCAAUACAAAGAGCUUAUGGUCAAAGAGGUUGGCCCAAACGCAGCUAAGCGCAUUAGUCAGUAUCUGCAAAAGCAACAAAUUCAAAGUCACACCAUAAACUAGAUGACCAGCAUCUUCCCGUCUCCCCUCGUGCCAAACGCCACAUUCCCGCCCCCUUGGCGCAACGAGAUUCCCGCCCUGCUAGACGAAGUCCUCGAAACCACAAAGCUGCACAUCAAUGUAUGGGAAAUGCAAUUGCUUCAGCAGUCAAAUUUAAUGAAUAUUUGCUGCAUGCACUCGCACACACACACACACACGUAAGUACACAUAGAUACGCAUAGUUGUAAGUAAAUUUUAUAAAUGGGUUUGAUUCAAAAUCAACUUGGCAAACUACA